RNAcentral lists this ribosomal RNA (428 nucleotides) under uncultured bacterium. Its description in RNAcentral is "bacterial SSU rRNA". It matches the Rfam family "Bacterial small subunit ribosomal RNA", at positions 354 to 796 of the family's 1533-position model. The record is from RNAcentral.
GUGGGGAAUAUUGGGCAAUGGGCGAAAGCCUGACCCAGCAACGCCGCGUGAGUGAAGAAGGCCUUCGGGUUGUAAAGCUCUGUUAUAGGGGACGAAGGGAGUGACGGUACCCUAUAAGGAAGCCCCGGCUAACUACGUGCCAGCAGCCGCGGUAAUACGUAGGGGGCGAGCGUUGUCCGGAAUGACUGGGCGUAAAGGGCGUGUAGGCGGCCUGAUAAGUCUGGAGUGAAAGUCCUGCUUUUAAGGUGGGAAUUGCUUUGGAUACUGUCGGGCUUGAGUGCGGAAGAGGUAAGUGGAAUUCCCAGUGUAGCGGUGAAAUGCGUAGAGAUUGGGAGGAACACCAGUGGCGAAGGCGACUUACUGGGCCGUAACUGACGCUGAGGCGCGAAAGCGUGGGGAGCGAACAGGAUUAGAAACCCUAGUAGUCC